GUGGGGAAUAUUGCGCAAUGGGGGAAACCCUGACGCAGCGACGCCGUGUGAGGGAAGAAGGCUUUCGGGUCGUAAACCUCUGUCAGAAAGGAAGAACCUCCCAUAUCCGAAUAGGGUGUGGGACUGACGGUACUUUCAAAGGAAGCACCGGCUAACUCCGUGCCAGCAGCCGCGGUAAUACGGAGGGUGCUAGCGUUAAUCGGAAUCACUGGGCGUAAAGCGCGCGUAGGCCGCUUCUUAAGUCGGACGUGAAAGCCCUCGGCUCAACCGGGGAACUGCGUUCGAUACUGGGAGGCUUGAGUCCUGGAGAGGGUGGCGGAAUUCCGGGUGUAGGAGUGAAAUCCGUAGAUAUCCGGAGGAACACCGGUGGCGAAGGCGGCCACCUGGACAGGUACUGACGCUGAGGCGCGAAAGCGUGGGGAGCAAACAGGAUUAGAAACCCCUGUAGUCC
Molecule: ribosomal RNA, 451 nt
Filed under: uncultured bacterium
Lineage: Bacteria
Description: partial 16S ribosomal RNA
Rfam family: Bacterial small subunit ribosomal RNA
Source: RNAcentral